This 522-nucleotide ribosomal RNA is filed under the name uncultured kinetoplastid. Its description in RNAcentral is "bacterial SSU rRNA". It matches the Rfam family "Eukaryotic small subunit ribosomal RNA", at positions 615 to 1026 of the family's 1831-position model. The record is from RNAcentral. Lineage: Eukaryota; Euglenozoa; Kinetoplastea.
GCUGUUAAGGGUUCGUAGUUGAAUUCAGAGUUGGAAGAUUUGGAUACCUUGGUGUCCCUUCGUUCCUUCUCUGUCUAGACGGGACUGUGCCUUGCUGGGGCUGGCCUUAAUUGACCAGCGUCGGCUCUCGGCUGAGAGGUCGGGGUUACACGUGCGACGCACGUACAAAGGCCGCCCGUUGUUUCACUGUGAAGAAAACAGCGUGUUCAAAGCUGCCGCAUGUCGGCUGAAUGACAAGCAUGGAAUGACAAAGUAUCGACCAAUUGGUCUGAUGUUUUGUUGGUUUUUACGACUGUUUGGAUAACUCGUUCACUGAAGCACUGCUUGAUUUCAUACGUGAUUUCUUGCAUGCUUCGUGACACGGGAUUAAUGGGGGUUGUCGGGGGAAAACGUAUUUGAGCGUGAGAGGUGAAUUCUUAGACCGCUCGAGGACGAACUUAUGCGAAGGCAUUUUCCAAGUAUACCUUCAUCAUCAAGAACUAAAGUGUGGAGAUCGAAGAUGAUUAGAGACCAUUGUAGUCC